CUGUUAGUGUAAGUUGAAAUGGCCGUUAAUUAGGAAUUCAGUUGAAACAUCCUAUUAAACACAGGUUGCUAAGCAACAGUGACCCUCGGCAACAGUGUGGCCAUUCCUUCUGCUGCGGAGCUUCUGGGCCUGGGUCUCAUGCUGCAGUAAAGGUACCCUUUGUGGCUGGUCUGAGCCACACCUCUACACACGGAUCGCAGGAUCCAAAGGAAAGGAGACCAACGCUUCCGGGCGCCGACAACGAGCUGGCGCGGUGCUAACCGCUUUGACACCCAGCCUGCCACCUGUGACUCUGGGCAGGCCUCAGUGCGCCUCAUCUGCAAAAUGAGAUCACAGUGGGUAGCUCCUGACCCUGGCGCUCCCGUGCUAGGGGGCGGGGGUGCAGGCUGAGGAGAGAGGCGGUCGCACCACCUGCCCCGCCCCAUCCCAUCCCCGCCCACUCCGGGCCCGGGGCGGGGGGCAGGGCCCAGAGGUCAGGUGGCCGGGCGGCGCGCGCCGGUUCCGAGCGCCAACUGCCGGCCGCCCCCCCCCCGCCCCCCGGCCCCGCGCCCCCCCUGCCCGGGCUGGAAGGCUGCGGCCCCUGCCGGUGCGAGCCCGGCCCGAGAGGCGGGAACGCGGCGCGGGCUCGCCGGC
Molecule: long non-coding RNA, 633 nt
Filed under: Equus asinus (donkey)
Lineage: Eukaryota; Metazoa; Chordata; Mammalia; Perissodactyla; Equidae
Description: lncRNA (ENSEASG00005032486.1)
Source: RNAcentral